This 253-nucleotide ribosomal RNA is filed under the name uncultured bacterium. RNAcentral describes it as "partial 16S ribosomal RNA". It matches the Rfam family "Bacterial small subunit ribosomal RNA", at positions 524 to 776 of the family's 1533-position model. The record is from RNAcentral.
UACGGAGGGUGCAAGCGUUAAUCGGAAUUACUGGGCGUAAAGCGCACGCAGGUGGCUGAGUCAGUCGAUUGUGAAAGCCCUGGGCUUAACCUGGGAAUUGCAGUCGAUACUACUCAGCUAGAGUAUGGGAGAGGGUAGUGGAAUUCCCGGUGUAGCGGUGAAAUGCGCAGAUAUCGGGAAGAACACCCGUGGCGAAGGCGGCUCUCUGGAACGCAACUGACGCUGAGACGCGAAAGCGUGGGGAGCAAACAGG